CCUACGGGAGGCAGCAGUGAGGAAUAUUGGUCAAUGGGCGCGAGCCUGAACCAGCCAAGCCGCGUGAGGGAAGACGGUCCUACGUAUCGUAAACCUCUUUUGUCGGGGAGCAAAAGACGCCACGCGUCGCCUUCCGAGAGUACCUGAAGAAAAAGCAUCGGCUAACUCCGUGCCAGCAGCCGCGGUAAUACGGAGGAUGCGAGCGUUAUCCGGAUUUAUUGGGUUUAAAGGGUGCGCAGGCGGAACAUUAAGUCAGCGGUAAAAUUGAGAGGCUCAACCGCGUCGAGCCGUUGAAACUGGUUUGCGUGAGUGAGCGAGAAGUAUGCGGAAUGCGUGGUGUAGCGGUGAAAUGCAUAGAUAUCACGCAGAACUCCGAUUGCGAAGGCAGCAUACCGGCGCUCAACUGACGCUCAUGCACGAAAGUGUGGGUAUCGAACAGGAUUAGAUACCCUUGUAGUC
RNAcentral lists this ribosomal RNA (459 nucleotides) under uncultured bacterium. Its description in RNAcentral is "partial 16S ribosomal RNA". It matches the Rfam family "Bacterial small subunit ribosomal RNA", at positions 338 to 795 of the family's 1533-position model. The record is from RNAcentral.